Molecule: long non-coding RNA, 330 nt
Filed under: Capsella rubella
Lineage: Eukaryota; Viridiplantae; Streptophyta; Magnoliopsida; Brassicales; Brassicaceae
Description: long non-coding RNA (CRUB_LNC001333)
Source: RNAcentral
UUAAACUAUUAAUUGGAUGGUCAAAAAGAUGAAAGUCAACUAAAUUAUCUUUUUAAGGCAAGUCGACAUAAUGUAAAGAUCAAUGGACUUUUCUUGUUUUUUUUUUUUUAUGUUCACGUCCAAUAGCAAAAAGGAAAGGUAAAAGAGUAUGUAUAACUUAAGCAUUGGUAGAUGCAAAUUCAGAACUCAUAAGUCAAUAGCCAUAUCAAAUUUGGGAUAAUCCAGAAAUAGGUUUUGGUUUAAGUAUAGUCCUAUAUAUAUAUACCAAAAACAUGACUACAUAUAUGAGCUGCUGAAUCCAACAUAUUAAUUCAGGACUGAUGAAAUGAG